UGGACAUGUUGGAAAGUCUCCAGACUUC
Molecule: non-coding RNA, 28 nt
Filed under: Mus musculus (house mouse)
Lineage: Eukaryota; Metazoa; Chordata; Mammalia; Rodentia; Muridae
Source: RNAcentral